UGGGGAAUUUUGCACAAUGGGCGCAAGCCUGAUGCAGCGACGCCGCGUGAGGGAUGAAGGCCUUCGGGUUGUAAACCUUUUUCGCUCAUGGUCAAGCCGCAGCUUUGGGUUGUGGUGAGGGUAGUGGGUAAAGAAGCGCCGGCUAACUACGUGCCAGCAGCCGCGGUAAUACGUAGGGCGCGAGCGUUGUCCGGAAUUAUUGGGCGUAAAGGGCUUGUAGGCGGUUGGUCGCGUCUGCCGUGAAAUCCUCUGGCUUAACUGGGGGCGUGCGGUGGGUACGGGUUGACUUGAGUGCGGUAGGGGAGACUGGAAUUCCUGGUGUAGCGGUGGAAUGCGCAGAUAUCAGGAGGAACACCGGUGGCGAAGGCGGGUCUCUGGGCCGUUACUGACGCUGAGGAGCGAAAGCGUGGGGAGCGAACAGG
RNAcentral lists this ribosomal RNA (422 nucleotides) under Verrucomicrobiota bacterium. Its description in RNAcentral is "Verrucomicrobia bacterium partial 16S ribosomal RNA". It matches the Rfam family "Bacterial small subunit ribosomal RNA", at positions 355 to 776 of the family's 1533-position model. The record is from RNAcentral. Lineage: Bacteria; Pseudomonadati; Verrucomicrobiota.